GGCGAGUAUGGAAUAGUUAAUCUGCCCUCCACAAGAGGACAACAGAUGGAAACGACUGCUAAUACUCUAUACUCCUGCUUAACACAAGAUGAGUCAGGGAAAGUUUUUCGGUGUAGGAUGAGACUAUAUAGUAUCAGCUAGUUGGUAAGGUAAUGGCUUACCAAGGCUAUGACACUUAACUGGUCUGAGAGGAAGAUCAGUCACACUGGAACUGAGACACGGUCCAGACUCCUACGGGAGGCAGCAGUAGGGAAUAUUGCGCAACGGGGGAAACCCUGACGCAGCAACCCCGCGUGGAGGAUGACACUUUUCGGAGCGUAAACUCCUUUUCUUAGGGCAGAAUUCUGACGGUACCUAAGGAAUAAGCACCGGCUAACUCCGUGCCAGCAGACGCGGUAAUACGGAGGGUGCAAG
This 414-nucleotide ribosomal RNA is filed under the name Campylobacter jejuni. RNAcentral describes it as "bacterial SSU rRNA". It matches the Rfam family "Bacterial small subunit ribosomal RNA", at positions 105 to 538 of the family's 1533-position model. The record is from RNAcentral. Lineage: Bacteria; Pseudomonadati; Campylobacterota; Epsilonproteobacteria; Campylobacterales; Campylobacteraceae.